UAAUACUAGCGGUCCGAGUCGCAGCCAUUUUUAUUGGGUCUAAAACAUCCGUAGCUUGCUUUGUAAGUCCCUUGUGAAAUCCUGUAUCUCAAAUACAGGGCGGGCAAGGGGUACUGUAGAGCUAGAGACUGGAAGACGUAAGAAGUACGUUCGAAGUAUCGGUAAAAUGAGUUAAUCUCGAACGGACUCACAACAGCGAAGGCAUCUUACGAGGACAGUUCUGACGGUAAGGGAUGAAGGCUAGGGGCGCAAAACGGAUUAGAUACCCGUGUAGUCCUAGCAGUAAACACUGCACACUAAACAUCAGUACCUCUUCGAGAGGUAUUGGUGCUGUAGGGAAGCCGAAGAGUGUGCUACCUGGGAAGUAUAGUCGCAAGGCCG
Molecule: ribosomal RNA, 381 nt
Filed under: uncultured euryarchaeote
Lineage: Archaea; Methanobacteriati; Methanobacteriota
Description: bacterial SSU rRNA
Rfam family: Archaeal small subunit ribosomal RNA
Source: RNAcentral